GAGCCGAAGAAGGACGGCACUAACACCGAUAUGCUUCGGGGAGCUGUAAGUGAGCUUUGAUCCGGAGAUUUCCGAAUGGGGGAACCCACUACGUUUAAUCGCGUAGUAUCUUGACGUGAAUACAUAGCGUCUUGAAGGCAGACCCAGGGAACUGAAACAUCUAAGUACCUGGAGGAAGAGAAAGAAAAAUCGAUUCCCUGAGUAGCGGCGAGCGAAACGGGAAGAGCCCAAACCAAGAGGCUUGCCUCUUGGGGUUGUAGGACACUCAAUACGGAGUUACAAAAGAGCGAGUUAGAUGAAGCGACUUGGAAAGGUCCGCCAGAGCAGGUAAAAGCCCUGUAGUCGAAAGUUCGUUCUCUCCUGAGUGGAUCCUGAGUACGGCGGAACACGUGAAAUUCCGUCGGAAUCCGGGAGG
RNAcentral lists this ribosomal RNA (415 nucleotides) under Kocuria rhizophila. RNAcentral's name for it is "bacterial LSU rRNA". It matches the Rfam family "Bacterial large subunit ribosomal RNA", at positions 43 to 451 of the family's 2925-position model. The record is from RNAcentral. Lineage: Bacteria; Bacillati; Actinomycetota; Actinomycetes; Micrococcales; Micrococcaceae.